Non-coding RNA from Clostridium autoethanogenum DSM 10061, 30 nucleotides. NCBI's taxonomy places the organism in Bacteria, Bacillati, Bacillota, Clostridia, Eubacteriales, Clostridiaceae. The record is from Rfam.
AUUUAAAUACAUCUUAUGUUGAGGUUCAAC